Ribosomal RNA from Acetonema longum DSM 6540, 2943 nucleotides. It matches the Rfam family "Bacterial large subunit ribosomal RNA". NCBI's taxonomy places the organism in Bacteria, Bacillati, Bacillota, Negativicutes, Acetonemataceae. The record is from Rfam.
UCCGAAUGGGGCAACCCGGCAGUGGUCAUGCACUGUCACCCAUGCUACAAAGCAUGAGGAGGGAACCUGGGGAACUGAAACAUCUAAGUACCCGGAGGAAAAGUAAUCAAACGAGAUUCCCGAAGUAGCGGCGAGCGAACCGGGAAGAGCCCAAACCGGAAGAGGCAACUUUUCCGGGGUUGAGGACCAACAAGCGUCUGGCCAGGCCUAAUCGAACUGUCUGGAAAGGCAGGCCGCAGAAGGUAACAGCCCUGUACAUGAAAGGCAGAGCCAGAUCGUUGGAAUCCAGAGUACCACGGGACACGAGGAACCCUGUGGGAAGCAGGGGGGACCACCCUCCAAGGCAAAAUACUCCUUGGCGACCGAUAGCGCAUAGUACCGUGAGGGAAAGGUGAAAAGCACCCCGGAAGGGGAGUGAAAUAGAACCUGAAACCGUAUGUCUACAAGCAGUCGAAGCACUUUACAUGUGCGACGGCGUGCCUAUUGAAGAAUGAACCGGCGAGUUACAGGCACUAGCGAGGUUAAGCGGAAAACGCGGAGCCGAAGCGAAAGCGAGUCUUAAGAGGGCGGCGAGUUAGUGUUUGUAGACCCGAAACUGCAGUGAUCUAUCCAUGGCCAGGGUGAAGCACAGGUAAAAUUGUGUGGAGGCCCGAACUCGUGAGCGUUGAAAAGCUUUGGGAUGAGUUGUGGAUAGGGGUGAAAUGCCAAUCGAACGCAGAGAUAGCUGGUUCUCCCCGAAAUAGCUUUAGGGCUAGCCUCAAGUGAUGAUUUACGACGGUAGAGCUCUGAUCGGGCUAGGGGCCUUCUAGGUUACCGAACCCUGUCAAACUGCGAAUGGAGUAAGUUUAACUUGGGAGUCAGACUGCGAGUGCUAAGAUCCGUAGUCAAGAGGGAAACAGCCCAGACCAUCAGCUAAGGUCCCCAAUGCCGUACUAAGUGGCAAAGGAUGUGGCGAUACAAAAACAACCAGGAUGUUGGCUUAGAAGCAGCCACCAUUUAAAGAGUGCGUAAUAGCUCACUGGUCGAGUGUCGCUGCGCCGAAAAUGUCCGGGGCUAAAGUACGGAACCGAAGCUAUGGAUUGGCGAUGCAUUCCAUACUAUUCUACAGGCGAAAAAAGUAGCUAGACAUUUAUUACGACAAGCGUCCAUAAAAACAAAAUCCGGCUUGUCGUUAAAUCCUAUAGCUAAAGAACAUCCUGUAGGUUGGUAUGGAGUGCAUCGCCAGUGGUAGGGGAGCGUUCGUAAUGCACAGAAGGUAUACCGUAAGGAGUGCUGGAGCGUUACGAAGUGAGAAUGCCGGUAUGAGUAGCGAAAAGACAGGUGAGAAUCCUGUCCACCGAAAGCCUAAGGAUUCCUGAGCAAGGAUCGUCCUCUCAGGGUCAGUCGGGACCUAAGCCGAGGCGGAAAUGCGUAGGCGAUGGACAACAGGUUGAUAUUCCUGUACCACCGGUCAUCGUUUGAGUGAUGGAGUGACACAGAAGGGUAGACAAUCGCGAGGAUGGAAAUUCGCGUUUAAACUGGUAGGGUGACUGACAGGCAAAUCCGUCAGUCGAGAACCUGAGAAGUGAUGAGGAGCUGAUCGAAAGAUCGGUGAACUUGUUGAUCCCCCACUGUCAAGAAAAGCUUCUAGCGAGAUGAGUGGUGCCCGUACCGCAAACCGACACAGGUAGGCGGGGAGAGAAUCCUAAGGUGCGCGGGAAAACCCUCGUUAAGGAACUCGGCAAAAUGUCCCCGUAACUUCGGGAAAAGGGGAGCCGUUUUGAGUGUAGGUUAGAAACGACCGAAGCUUGAAGUGGUUGCAAAAGAGAGGCCCAAGCGACUGUUUACCACAAACACAAGUGCCUGCUAAAGCGAAAGCUGACGUAUAGGUGCUGACACCUGCCCGGUGCUGGAAGGUUAAGGGGAAGAGUCAGGCGCAAGCCGAAGCCCAGAACCGAAGCCCCAGUAAACGGCGGCCGUAACUAUAACGGUCCUAAGGUAGCGAAAUUCCUUGUCGGGUAAGUUCCGACCCGCACGAAAGGUGUAACGACUUGGGCACUGUCUCAACGAGGGACCCGGUGAAAUUGAAAUCCCUGUGAAGAUGCAGGGUACCCGCGACUGGACAGAAAGACCCCAUGGAGCUUUACUGUAACCUGACAUUGGAUUUUGGUCAAUCAUGUACAGGAUAGGUGGGAGACGGAGAAGGCGGUACGCUAGUAUCGUUGGAGUCGUUGUUGGGAUACCACCCUUGAUUGACUGAAAUUCUAACUCAAGUAGUAACGAUACUGAGGACCGUGUCAGGCGGGCAGUUUGACUGGGGCGGUCGCCUCCGAAAGUGUAACGGAGGCGCCCAAAGGUUCCCUCAGCGCGGAUGGAAAUCGCGCGAAGAGUGUAAAGGCAGAAGGGAGCUUGACUGCAAGACAAACACGUCGAGCAGGGACGAAAGUCGGGCUUAGUGAUCCGGUGGCGCCGAGUGGAAGGGCCAUCGCUCAACGGAUAAAAGCUACCCUGGGGAUAACAGGCUAAUCUCGCCCAAGAGUCCAUAUCGACGGCGAGGUUUGGCACCUCGAUGUCGGCUCAUCACAUCCUGGGGCUGAAGUAGGUCCCAAGGGUUGGGCUGUUCGCCCAUUAAAGUGGUACGUGAGCUGGGUUCAGAACGUCGUGAGACAGUUCGGUCCCUAUCCAUCGCGGGCGUAAGAGACUUGAAGGGAGCUGCUCCUAGUACGAGAGGACCGGAGUGGACGGACCAAUGGUGUACCAGUUAUCCCGCCAGGGGUACAGCUGGGUAGCUACGUCCGGAACGGAUAAACGCUGAAAGCAUCUAAGCGUGAAACCAGCCUUAAGAUGAGGUCUCUCAUUCUUCGGAAGUAAGACCCCUUAUAGAUGAUAAGGUUGAUAGGCCAGGUGUGGAAGCCCUGCAAGGGGUGCAGCUGACUGGUACUAAUCGGUCGAGGACUUGACUUC